AACGUCGUGAGACAGUUCGGUCCCUAUCUGCCGUGGGCGCUGGAGAAUUGAGGGGGGUUGCUCCUAGUACGAGAGGACCGGAGUGAACGCACCGCUGGUGUCCGGGUUGUCACGCCAGUGGCACUGCCCGGUAGCUAAGUGCGGAAAAGAUAAGUGCUGAAAGCAUCUAAGCACGAAACUUGCCCCGAGAUGAGUUCUCCCUGAGCCUUUAAGGCUCCUGAAGGGACGUUGAAGACGACGACGUUGAUAGGCCGGGUGUGUAAGCGCAGCGAUGCGUUGAGCUUACCGGUACUAAUGAUCCGUGAGGCUUAACCUUACAACGCCAGAGGCGUUUUG
RNAcentral lists this ribosomal RNA (336 nucleotides) under Pantoea sp. AMG 501. RNAcentral describes it as "bacterial LSU rRNA". It matches the Rfam family "Bacterial large subunit ribosomal RNA", at positions 2615 to 2925 of the family's 2925-position model. The record is from RNAcentral. Lineage: Bacteria; Pseudomonadati; Pseudomonadota; Gammaproteobacteria; Enterobacterales; Erwiniaceae.